Long non-coding RNA from Lathyrus oleraceus (garden pea), 1777 nucleotides. RefSeq lists it as uncharacterized. The record is from RefSeq and is a predicted model, not a curated record. The transcript has 2 exons. Lineage: Eukaryota; Viridiplantae; Streptophyta; Magnoliopsida; Fabales; Fabaceae.
GAAUAAAAUAUAGUGAUAUCAUUCUUAUGGUGAAGUUGUUAAUGGAGGUAGCUGUUUAUGCUUCUUGUCCAGAUCAAAUCAGGUUAUGCUAACUUGAUGAUGCUUCUAGAGUUUCAACUCACCUGUUAGUUCCUCAUGUUGAUCGACGCGACUGUCUUUUAUCGAAUAAAAUUUGACUGAGUGAAUUGAGAAGCUUUGUUGAAAAAUUAUCUCAACGAAACAUGCACUCAGUAUUGAAAACUUGUUAACAAAACAAGAUCUCAACCAAGCUAUGCCAUUCUGAGCUUCCUUCCUGAAACAGGUGUAAAAACCUUCUGGAAACUUAAUUUACAAAAAUGACUAUCGAAAGGAGUAACCUAAAAGUAUCACGUUACCGGUGGAAAUUGAAUAACAUCAGGUUUUGAAAUGCAACGUCAAAUGACCAGAAAAUAAGCCACUUCAUUACAGUGACGAAAUCCACAGAGAUACAAGAACUCUUCAAUUUGAAGAACACACUACCUAAAUGGCACAAAAUCCUCUCUAAUCAACUCAAUAACAUGAACAACAAAACAGAGGCCGGUGACAAUACCUGCUUGUCAAAUGUCAAGAGUCAAAGAUGAUUGAAUCUAAAUGUCAGUAACAAAAUAAAUGCAACAAAAUGAGAUACUCUUCAGGACCAAAUCUAGUCUUGGGAGAACCAGAUUGUUGCUGCCGAACAUUUCUAAAGGGGCCAUAAAUAUGUUGGAGAAACUCUAAUUCUACUCAAUCUCUACUCCACAAAAUUGCAGGCUAAAAAGCCUCACAGUACCACAGCAACCUUUUCUUGUGAAACAUAGGCAGAAGGAUGGGCGAUCAAGGGCUCAUAGUGGUCAGCUCCAGCACCACACCAACCUGAAUGCGAAAAAUUGGUUACAUAGCUCUUCUCACUGAAGCAUUACAAACUUAAAAAAAGGUACGAGACCAGAUAAAUUAUUUUCUGUUACCUGUUCCUUUCAUGAAAAGGAAAAAGGGAAGUUCUGCAAUUUCGCUCCUUGGACGAUGCGGAAGGAAAAACACACAAUUUUCUUCAUCAACCAUGGCAUCUGAACCAUGCGCUUGCACCUGAAAAUGAUAAAAUAAUUUCAGAUGGAAGCUUGCUGAGACAAUUACACACAAAUAAAACAGCAGAGACAAAUACUGAAUUUUGUAUAAGAAUCUGGAUCAUAUUGUCAAACCUUCACCACAAGCAAUAAUAACUAUAACAGGAUAACUCACAGCAAAUGCCCCUUAUCCAGAAUGAGGAAUUUGGAUCAUAUCAUCAAAUCUUCACCAUGAUACAAGCAAUAAUAACUACAACAGGAUAACUCACAGCAAAUGCCCAUUAUCCGGAAUGGGGAAUACAAGAAACUUCAAUCCUCACAAAAGAAUUCCCCCUUACAAAGUGUCGCAAACAACUAUUUCAUGUCAUAAUAAAACCCAUUGGAGAAGUAUGAGAUUCAACAAGCCAGCCACAAAUGGUCGUCAUUCCAACACAGUACUAUACUUGAUUAGUGUUCUACAAACAAAUAACUGAAUGUAUUACACAAGUAUAUCUGAAUUGCCGUUUGCAACCGAAGGUCAGGACUCAGAACAUCAAUCCAGUUAAUAAUACUCAGAGAGUAUCAUGGACUGAUUCAUUUAGUGGCUGGCUCAACAGGUCUCCCAUUAACUUUCCAAAUUAAUUCACAGAUUAUGAUUAAAAUACCUUUAUUCUCUUAUGACAACUAGCAGGAAUAUGAAAGGAUUCUUGGCAAAUAAUGAUAAUAUUUGUUUCAAAGAA